Molecule: ribosomal RNA, 519 nt
Filed under: uncultured bacterium
Lineage: Bacteria
Description: bacterial SSU rRNA
Rfam family: Bacterial small subunit ribosomal RNA
Source: RNAcentral
CAUCUAGUAAAGUUAAAGAAAUGGUUCAUUAAUUAGUAUUGUGGCGUCGUGUCUGUUUAUAGCUCUUAUAAUGACGGUAGCUAUAUAUAAAAGCCCCGGCUAACUUCGUGCCAGCAGCCGCGGUAAUACGGAGGGGGCUAGUGUUACUCAUAUUGAUUGGGUGUAAAGGGUAUGUAGUACGGUUUUUUUAGUUUAGAACGUAAAUCCUAUGAUUGCCAUUAUAGAAGUGUUCUAAAACAAAUUAACUUAGAGUUUAAAAAAGGAUAACAGUACUUCUAGUCUAGGGGUAAAAUCUGCUGCGGAUUAGAGGGACUAUCGCGGGCGAAGGCGGUUAUCUAGUUUAAUACUGACGUUGAGGUACGAAGGUGUGGGUAGUCAAUGGGAUUAGAUACCCCAGUAGUCCACACAGUAAACGAUGAAUGCUCGUAAUUAGAUAUAAUUUUUAGUUACUUAGCUAACGCGUUAAGCAUUCCACCUGGGGAUUACGAUCGCAAGAUUAAAACUCAAAGGAAUAGGCGG